CUAGCGACUUCAGAGUUUGAUCCUGGCUCAGGAUGAACGCUGGCGGCGUGCUUAACACAUGCAAGUCGAACGAAGAAGAGUUGAAUGAGAGCUUCGGCAGGAUUUCUUCUCAUCUUAGUGGCGGACGGGUGAGUAACGUGUGGGCAACCUGCCCUGUACUGUGGAAUAAUCACUGGAAACGGUGACUAAUACCGCAUGUCAUCACUGGAGGGCAUCCUCCGGUGAAAAAGGAGCAAUUCGGUACAGGAUGGGCCCGCAUCUGAUUAGCUAGUUGGUGAGAUAACAGCCCACCAAGGCGACGAUCAGUAGCCGACCUGAGAGGGUGAUCGGCCACAUUGGGACUGAGACACGGCCCAA
This 357-nucleotide ribosomal RNA is filed under the name uncultured bacterium. RNAcentral describes it as "bacterial SSU rRNA". It matches the Rfam family "Bacterial small subunit ribosomal RNA", at positions 1 to 334 of the family's 1533-position model. The record is from RNAcentral.